UACGUAGGGGGCAAGCGUUGUCCGGAAUCACUGGGCGUAAAGCGUGCGUAGGCGGUUUGUUAAGUCUGAAGUGAAAGCCCAGGGCUCAACUCUGGGACUGCUUUGGAAACUGGCAGACUUGAGUGCUGGAGAGGCAAGGGGAAUUCCACGUGUAGCGGUGAAAUGCGUAGAUAUGUGGAGGAAUACCAGUGGCGAAGGCGCCUUGCUGGACAGAUACUGACGCUGAGGCACGAAAGCGUGGGGAG
RNAcentral lists this ribosomal RNA (245 nucleotides) under uncultured bacterium. RNAcentral describes it as "partial 16S ribosomal RNA". It matches the Rfam family "Bacterial small subunit ribosomal RNA", at positions 524 to 768 of the family's 1533-position model. The record is from RNAcentral.